RNAcentral lists this long non-coding RNA (395 nucleotides) under Androctonus crassicauda. Lineage: Eukaryota; Metazoa; Arthropoda; Arachnida; Scorpiones; Buthidae. The record is from RNAcentral.
CAUGGUAAAGGCAAUAAACAAGAGUAUAUCCCAAUCCCACACCGGAUGAAUAAGCUUGGAUUCAUAAAAAAAUAUCUUCAAAAAAAUAGACAAGAAGCCAGCCCAUAGCCACUACAAUAUUCAAUACAAUAAGGAAUGAAAAGCCCAAAAGAAAAGAUAUGCAAAGAUCUGGCGUUUAUAGUAUACUGGUACACAUACCUCAAACAGGAGAAGAGACAGCAUAUAUAAGUGUCACCAGCAGAACUCUAGGACAAAGAAUACAAGAACACAGAAAAGACAUCGAGAAAGGCAACACCAAUGCAGCAGAAGCCUAUGACAAGGACAUCAGAAUACAGUGGGACAGAGCCAAAGUCAUAAAGCCCCUAAUAAGAAGGUCCCAAGCCACAAUGGCAGAA